RNAcentral lists this ribosomal RNA (3357 nucleotides) under Triticum aestivum (bread wheat). RNAcentral describes it as "partial small subunit ribosomal RNA". The record is from RNAcentral. Lineage: Eukaryota; Viridiplantae; Streptophyta; Magnoliopsida; Poales; Poaceae.
CUCUUUUACCUGGCACGCCCUAUUUUCCUGCGAUUUCCUCCCGUCUUUACCUAUUAUUGGAGGAUUCCUGGGGCGUCUUCCGCUGGCUGGGUUGGAAUUUGAUUUCUUGUCCUCCUUUCCCAUCCGGGUUUCUUGCAAGCCGUCUUGCAAAGAAGCCGCCACUUUUACUGCGCAAUUCAGAAGGAAGGAAGAGACGAGGAGACUCUCCCUCUCUCUUUCAUGCAGCCAGGGAUGGAGCCCCUCCAAGGGAAGGAGAGCAACGGCGCCGUUCCUGACUGCAAUGGGGCUGCUGCCCCCCCUGCGAAGCAGCAGCUGCCUGAAGGGACGGACGCCCUUCGGUAUGCCAACAUCCUCCGGUCACGCAACAAAUUUGCUGAUGCUCUCCAGUUGUACAGUACCGUUCUUGACAAGGAUGGAACCAAUGUGGAGGCCCUUAUCGGAAAAGGGAUCUGCCUCCAGGCCCAGAGCCUGCCAAGGCAGGCCUUGGAUUGCUUCACCGAGGCUGUCAAGGUCGAUCCCAAGAAUGCGUGUGCUCUCACACAUUGUGGGAUGAUAUACAAAGACGAGGGUCACCUAGUUGAGGCCGCAGAGGCAUAUCAAAAAGCUCGAAGUGCGGAUCCUUCCUAUAAAGCUGCUGCGGAAUUUCUUGCUAUAGUUUUGACCGAUCUUGGAACUAGCUUGAAGCUUGCAGGCAAUACAGAAGAUGGGAUUCAAAAAUAUUGUGAAGCUCUUGAAGUGGAUAGCCACUAUGCGCCUGCUUAUUACAACCUUGGGGUGGUUUAUUCAGAGAUGAUGCAGUUUGACGUAGCUCUUACUUGUUAUGAAAAAGCUGCAUUGGAGAGACCAUUGUAUGCUGAAGCUUAUUGCAAUAUGGGGGUUAUUUACAAGAAUCGGGGAGAGCUAGACGCAGCAAUUGCCUGCUACGACAGGUGCUUGACUAUUUCCCCCAACUUUGAGAUUGCUAAGAAUAACAUGGCAAUAGCACUAACCGACUUGGGUACAAAGGUUAAAAUUGAAGGUGACAUCAAUCAAGGUGUGGCAUAUUACAAGAAAGCUCUGUUCUAUAAUUGGCACUAUGCUGAUGCAAUGUAUAAUCUUGGUGUUGCAUAUGGUGAAAUGUUGAAUUUUGAGAUGGCUAUUGUUUUUUAUGAACUUGCUCUGCACUUCAAUCCUCGCUGUGCGGAGGCAUGCAACAACCUGGGAGUAAUAUACAAGGAUAGGGAUAAUCUCGACAAAGCUGUUGAAUGUUAUCAAAUGGCCUUGUCAAUUAAGCCAAAUUUCUCCCAGUCAUUGAAUAACCUUGGAGUUGUCUAUACAGUUCAGGGCAAGAUGGAUGCUGCUGCAAGCAUGAUUGAGAAGGCCAUACUUGCAAAUCCCACUUAUGCUGAAGCAUACAAUAACUUAGGUGUUCUUUACAGAGAUGCUGGAAGUAUUACGUUAUCUGUACAGGCAUAUGAAAGAUGCCUGCAAAUUGAUCCUGAUUCACGAAAUGCCGGUCAGAACCGUUUGCUUGCCAUGAACUAUAUUGACGAGGGCUCAGAUGACAGGCUUUAUGAUGCUCACAGGGAAUGGGGAAAGCGCUUUAUGAAAUUGUAUGCACAGUAUACUAGUUGGGAUAACAUAAGAGUCGCUGAUCGUCCACUGGUCAUUGGUUAUGUGUCUCCUGAUUUUUUUACUCACUCCGUGUCUUACUUCGUUGAAGCCCCCCUUACACACCAUGAUUACACAAAUUGCAAGGUGGUCGUCUAUUCUGGUGUUGUGAAGGCAGAUGCCAAGACCCUUCGAUUCAAGGAUAAGGUGUUAAAAAAGGGCGGGGUCUGGAGAGAUAUAUAUGGUAUUGAUGAAAAGAAGGUUGCUACCUUGGUCAGAGAGGAUAAAGUGGAUAUACUUGUGGAACUUACUGGUCAUACAGCAAAUAAUAAACUAGGAACAAUGGCGUGCCGCCCUGCUCCUAUUCAGGUUACAUGGAUUGGUUACCCUAAUACGACAGGUUUACCAGCAAUUGACUACAGAAUAACAGAUUCAUUGGCUGAUUCUCCUAAUACAAACCAAAGGCAUGUUGAAGAGUUGGUGCGCCUUCCUGAAAGUUUUCUUUGUUACACUCCUUCUCCAGAAGCUGGGCCGAUCACACCGAAAGUUAUGCAAGUUUGGGCCAGAAUAUUAUGUGCAGUCCCUAACUCACGGCUUGUGGUUAAGUGCAAGCCAUUCUGCUGUGACAGUAUAAGACAGAAAUUUUUAUCGACACUUGAGGAGUUGGGUUUGGAGUCACUACGAGUUGAUUUACUACCACUCAUCCAUCUCAACCAUGACCACAUGCAAGCAUAUUCCUUAAUGGACAUCAGCCUAGAUACGUUUCCAUAUGCUGGGACUACCACUACAUGUGAAUCUCUUUACAUGGGGGUUCCAUGUGUUACAAUGGCUGGUUCAGUUCAUGCUCAUAAUGUUGGUGUUAGCCUACUCACUAAAGUUGGGUUGGGGAGGCUGGUUGCCAAAACGGAGGAUGAAUAUGUUAGCUUAGCAUUGGAGUUGGCAUCAGAUGUGAGUGCCUUAGAAGAACUGAGGAAGAGCCUCCGGGAACUGAUGAUAAAAUCACCAGUCUGUGACGGAGAGAGUUUCACACGUGGCCUGGAAUCUGCAUACCGAAGCAUGUGGCAUAGGUACUGUGAUGGGGAUUCACCAGCUCUCAGGCGCUUAGAAGUGUUGGCGGGCGAAGACUUGGACAAGACGGCUGUGAAACUUGCAGAUCUUAAAGCACAGAGAGUGAAUGCUACUGCUGAGGAAGAUAAUCAGUCCCCGCUAAAGAAGGCUGACGCCACGUCCAAGGGAGGCGAGCCCCAAAUAAUGGUGAACGAUGUGAGUUCUCCUGAAGGUAACCAGGCCCUCGUAACGGCGAAAGCGCAGCCCCAAAUAAUGGUGAAUGGUGGGAGUUCACCUCACUCCCCUUCGGUGAGAUGCGAAGCAAAUGGGCAUAGCAGCCGAUGACCAAUGGGAGGCUCCAUUGAUGCAGGCACACACUGAUGUAUUAUAGGUUGAGAUUUGCCAUUGAUGUAUCAUCACAAAGUCGCUGCUGGGGGUCAAUAUAGGUGUUCUGGUUGUUGACCUCGGAAAUGGAUGUGGUUGUGAAACGCUGGUGAUCCCUGACUUGUAGCAGAUGUAAUAUAAUUCGUGGGGGAUGCUUAGUCUGAUUUGUAGAUCAAGGUGUAUGAGUAAAGAGUAUGUGCCAAGUUGAGUUGGCAUGGUAGAAACAGAGAGAAAGGCGUUGGUUGUAUAUGUAGGAACAGCUUCUUGAUUCUCUAAAAUUUAACCGAGGCUAUUUCAACUUCUAGAUUCUCUUGAGUUUAACUGUUUUUGUCUUCA